RNAcentral lists this ribosomal RNA (278 nucleotides) under Acaulospora scrobiculata. Lineage: Eukaryota; Fungi; Glomeromycota; Glomeromycetes; Diversisporales; Acaulosporaceae. The record is from RNAcentral.
CAGUCACGUCGGCCAGGGAUCAACCUUGCUUCUUGCUGGGCGCAUUUCCUGGUCGACGGGUCAGCAUCGAUUUCGGUCGUCGUAGAAGGAUGGAAGCGAACGUGGCACUCCUCGGAGUGUGUUAUAGCCUUCCAUACGCAUGCGAUGCCUGGGAUCGAGGACCGCAGCGCGCCUUCUUGGCAUUGGCUUCGGCCUUUUCCGCGCUAAGGAUUCUGGCUUAAUGGCUUUAAGCGACCCGUCUUGAAACACGGACCAAGGAGUCUAACAUAUAUGCGAGU